GACGAACGCUGGCGGCGGGCUUAACACAUGCAAGUCGAACGGAAAGGCCCUGCUUUUGUGGGGUGCUCGAGUGGCGAACGGGUGAGUAACACGUGAGUAACCUACCCUCGACUUUGGGAUAACUACAGGAAACUGGGGCUAAUACCGGAUAGGAUCUCCUGCUACAAGGUGGGGGUUGGAAAGUUUCGGCGGUUGGAGAUGGACUCGCGGCUUAUCAGCUUUCUGUUGGGGUAGUGUCAUACCAAGGCUUUGACGGGUGGCCGGCCUGAGAGGGUGACCGGCCACGUUGGGAUUGGGAUACGGCCCAGACUCGUACGGGAGGCAGCGGUGGGGAAUAUUGUACUAUGGGCGGAAGCCUGAUGCAGCACAGCCGCGUGGGGUAUGACGGCCUUCGGGUUGUAAACCGCUUUCGCCUGUGCCGAAGCGUUAGUGACGGUAAUGGGUAAAGAAGCACCGGCUAACUACGUG
This 468-nucleotide ribosomal RNA is filed under the name uncultured bacterium. RNAcentral's name for it is "partial 16S ribosomal RNA". It matches the Rfam family "Bacterial small subunit ribosomal RNA", at positions 28 to 507 of the family's 1533-position model. The record is from RNAcentral.